This is a long non-coding RNA of Panthera uncia (snow leopard), 616 nucleotides long. RefSeq lists it as uncharacterized. The record is from RefSeq and is a predicted model, not a curated record. The transcript is spliced from 4 exons. Lineage: Eukaryota; Metazoa; Chordata; Mammalia; Carnivora; Felidae.
UUAUUUAAAAAUGCACGAUGCUGAAGUUUUAUGAGAUACACCCACAGGUCUGUGUAAACUGAGCUACAUCCGCUGGCCACUGUGACCACAUAUAUUAUUAACUCUUUGUGUGCCAUGGGAAGCACUCAGGUACCAGUCUCCCGAAGUUGAGAGCUGCUUUGAACAGGCAUGGACUGCAGUGGUUUCCGGGAGAUGAAGACAUAGUUGCCAACUUGAUGUGUGGGGCGGCAGCAGCCACCUUGCUACAAUGAGAGGAUAAGCCUGAGGAUGACAGCUAAUACACUGAAGAUCAAUGAGCAUUAAGACUGAAAGAGCCUGGGUCAUUGAUGUCACUGUUGAGGGAAAAGGAACACUCUGAGGCAAGUGCUGUGAAAGUUCCUCCUUUACCACAGCUCUGCGUGAGGAAUGAGGUGCAGGACAAUAGGCAUCGUUACGAACAUCAAGGAGAGAAAAGAACCAAAGGUGCCUCAAUGACUGUUAGCAUGAAUACAUGACGAUGCCCUUACAUGUUUUUCAUAGAGGAGGUGUGUGGGUCAACCUGUGUGAACAUAUGGGAGCCAGCGUUCAAUGCCUCUGAUUCUGCACGACUCUUCCCCAACAUGAACCUUACGAGAUA